CUUACAUCAAACAGCAAAACAUUGGUCAAUAACCCUCAAAGCAUUUUCACCCUCAAGUCCUUUUCUUCCUGAAGUCUGAAUAAUGGACUAAUGGAAGUAAUUUUUUCUUUAAACCAAAGUACCUGCUCUGCUAGACCAAAUGUGAAGUAGUGUUUCCAAUUUACACAGUACAGAAAUAAAAUCCUAUAGUCUGUAAGAAAACCAUCUCUCUCCAAACUUUCAGCCUUUUCUGGUAAAGAAGAAAGUUUAUUAUGACCUAUGGGUUUUUCCAUAGUAAAGUCAUGGAGCUUGAUACCAUGGUAUCAGAUGGGAAAAGUAUGAAUAGAUCAUCAAAGUUUUUUUGUGGAAAAAAAUGCUAUUUGCAAAUUUAUUUUUACUUGGCAAGAUUAGUAUGUUUAGUUUUUGGGCAAAUUGAAGUAGCAGACUUUUUUAUUUCAUCAUUGAUACCAUGAAAUGAAUUUCAUUCCUGGGUCAUCCAAGAAAUAUACAACCAGUUAGCUUACAGGAGCGAAAGUCUGGCCAUAAAGAACAAAGCAAAGUCAAAAAUAUUAAAUAAACUUGUAUGGUAUAAAGACAAUAGGAAUGGUAUUUAAUGCAAGUUACUCAGUCCCUACUUUCUGAAUAACUUAACCUUGUUCAUUUUUAGUGGAAAAUAUAGGAAAUUUCAAAAUGAAACAAACCAAGCUCUAGUAGGUUAAAUGUAGAGGCUAUGAUAACUUAAAUUUUCAGAGUUUUUAUAUCAUGAAAAGCUAGCAAGCAAUGCUUAAAUCCUAGUGUAUAAAUAUUGCUUUCCCAUUAAGUAUCAAAUGAAAAGCCUUUACUAUGAAAACAAGUAUCAAGCAGUGUUCUCCAAAUUUUACUGGUAUAUUCUUUUUGAUCUAGGUAAUAAAAGAAGCUCUUUAUAUAAAUGCAUUUAAUAUAAAGUUUUAAAGCUGUUAUUUCUAAGUCUAGUACAAGAAGUGGCUUAGCUCACUAAUUACCUGCAGCAAAAUGCAUUAAAAAGAUUUCUCUGUAACCUACAUUGAUGUUAUCUGUGAUUAGCCAUAAUUCAAAAAACCCCAUAACAAAGAUUUUAUAAUUUUCCUAGCUGAUUCUCAUAACUAUAUUGUUUCCUUAAAAAUGUACUGAAAUCUACCUCAAGACAAAAAAAAGCAUGCCAUUUUAAGAGCAGGGCUUUGGUGGGGAGACUGGGACAGAAACAGUGAUUCAAAACAUAUACUUAAAUGUUCUGUAAUCUAAAAGAUAUUAAAUAAUUUAAGAAAUAAUACUCAAAAA
RNAcentral lists this long non-coding RNA (1275 nucleotides) under Sarcophilus harrisii (Tasmanian devil). Its description in RNAcentral is "lncRNA (ENSSHAG00000027388.1)". Lineage: Eukaryota; Metazoa; Chordata; Mammalia; Dasyuromorphia; Dasyuridae. The record is from RNAcentral.